GAUGAACGCUGGCGGCGUGCCUAAUACAUGCAAGUCGAGCGAACGGACGAGAAGCUUGCUUCUCUGAUGUUAGCGGCGGACGGGUGAGUAACACGUGGAUAACCUACCUAUAAGACUGGGAUAACUUCGGGAAACCGGAGCUAAUACCGGAUAAUAUUUUGAACCGCAUGGUUCAAAAGUGAAAGACGGUCUUGCUGUCACUUAUAGAUGGAUCCGCGCUGCAUUAGCUAGUUGGUAAGGUAACGGCUUACCAAGGCAACGAUGCAUAGCCGACCUGAGAGGGUGAUCGGCCACACUGGAACUGAGACACGGUCCAGACUCCUACGGGAGGCAGCAGUAGGGAAUCUUCCGCAAUGGGCGAAAGCCUGACGGAGCGACGCCGCGUGAGUGAUGAAGGUCUUCGGAUCGUAAAACUCUGUUAUUAGGGAAGAACAGAUGUGUAAGUAACUGUGCACAUCUUGACGGUACCUAAUCAGAAAGCCACGGCUAACUACGU
This 496-nucleotide ribosomal RNA is filed under the name uncultured bacterium. Its description in RNAcentral is "partial 16S ribosomal RNA". It matches the Rfam family "Bacterial small subunit ribosomal RNA", at positions 28 to 506 of the family's 1533-position model. The record is from RNAcentral.